RNAcentral lists this ribosomal RNA (254 nucleotides) under uncultured bacterium. Its description in RNAcentral is "partial 16S ribosomal RNA". It matches the Rfam family "Bacterial small subunit ribosomal RNA", at positions 524 to 777 of the family's 1533-position model. The record is from RNAcentral.
UACGGAGGGAGCUAGCGUUGUUCGGAAUUACUGGGCGUAAAGCGCACGUAGGCGGCUUUUUAAGUCAGGGGUGAAAUCCCGGGGCUCAACCCCGGAACUGCCCUUGAAACUGGAGAGCUAGAAUCUUGGAGAGGCGAGUGGAAUUCCGAGUGUAGAGGUGAAAUUCGUAGAUAUUCGGAAGAACACCAGUGGCGAAGGCGGCUCACUGGACCGGUAUUGACGCUGAGGUGCGAAAGCGUGGGGAGCAAACAGGG